RNAcentral lists this unclassified non-coding RNA (233 nucleotides) under Hevea brasiliensis (rubber tree). The record is from RNAcentral. Lineage: Eukaryota; Viridiplantae; Streptophyta; Magnoliopsida; Malpighiales; Euphorbiaceae.
UGAUCUUCUUCGUUUUCUUCGCUGGUGGAGGAGGAGAACAGGAUUCGGCGUAGUUCUCGGAUUCUGAUGAAACCUUUCCGCCUGAAUUCGUUGGCGAUAUGAGUUGCGGUGGUCGGGGAAUGAAAGAUGGCGGUCGAGGCCGCUUGCUGCGAGCGCGGACUCGUCUACCGGCCGCGGUGGGUAGGGCCUUUUUUUCGUCAGAGCUGGAGCUGCUGCUGCUACUGCUGCUGCUG